This 286-nucleotide long non-coding RNA is filed under the name Homo sapiens (human). RNAcentral's name for it is "HSALNT0110025". Lineage: Eukaryota; Metazoa; Chordata; Mammalia; Primates; Hominidae. The record is from RNAcentral.
AGUAUCUCUGGAAUGAAGGCUUUUUAACCUGUUGCAGGGAAGAAGGGCAAUGGAAGGUUUGAAGGGGAGAGAGUACAGAAGAGACAAUGAUAUUGAAAAGACCUUUGUAAACAUUUUGCUUACAUGGUUUUCUGACCCUGGAAAAUAAUCCCUGCAUAUGAAAUGAAACAGACAUUUUUCUAGUAAGUCAUCAUUCUUCUGUGCUGCUGAAGUAAUCUUGUUGUGUUCAUUGGUAUAAUUAAUUUAUCUUAAUAUCUGUUAGCUAUUACAAAGACUAUGUAUGUAA